This 307-nucleotide long non-coding RNA is filed under the name Homo sapiens (human). Its description in RNAcentral is "HSALNT0328333". Lineage: Eukaryota; Metazoa; Chordata; Mammalia; Primates; Hominidae. The record is from RNAcentral.
UGCAAUAAGAUAUAGACGGUGAUUGGAGUCGUUUCUCUUUUUGCUUCCAGAGGGAGCUCAAACCUGAAGCAUCAAGGUUAUCUUUUUCCAAAGGAUUUGUGUGAACCUAAGUUCGGUACCUGCGACGAGUAAAAACACUUAUUUGACCCUCUAGAGACUCAGCUAGAACUGACUGAGCAAAGGGAAAUCGGGCAAAAGAAAGGGAAGGUACUGAGGAGAAAACGUUAAGCCCAACAGGUCCAGGAUUUGUGCACAGUGAGUGGAAAAAAUGUGUUAAACGUCGGUUUGACGCCCCACCGGAGCUUCC